AGUUGGAGAAUAAUCGAUUAUCAGAUUCUGAAUAAUCGAUUAUCUGGGCACAAAAUCAGCAUAAUUGAUUGCCAAUUAAGCAACGGACAUACACCAUUUUUCACCUAUAAAAAGAGGUCUUUUGAGGUAAAUUUCUCAACUGAAAGUGGUAAAGCAUUAUAAAUUAUUAAAUACCAAAAGUGAUGACCUCUUAAUUUCAUUGUAGGAUUUAAUACUGAAGCAACACCAAAGUAGGGGGAUAGGGAAAAAUUAUUUUUUAAACUUAGCUUUCAUAGAAUUAAUAGCUUUUUGAUAAGUACUCCAUCAUCUGAAAAUGUUGUAAAUAAAUCUACAAGUGCUGCAAUAUCAACUAAACAGUUAGAAAUAGUAGGAUAAUAUUGGCCAGAUAAUUCAUGUGUAGCAAUAUGAAAUUGUUCUAAAAAGUCUACAAGCAUUUUAAUAUUACUCAAAUCUUGAUUUGUAAGGUGCUCAUCAUUAUCAUCAUCACCA
Molecule: long non-coding RNA, 489 nt
Filed under: Nicotiana benthamiana
Lineage: Eukaryota; Viridiplantae; Streptophyta; Magnoliopsida; Solanales; Solanaceae
Description: long non-coding RNA (NBEN_LNC033223)
Source: RNAcentral